Molecule: ribosomal RNA, 329 nt
Filed under: uncultured bacterium
Lineage: Bacteria
Description: bacterial SSU rRNA
Rfam family: Bacterial small subunit ribosomal RNA
Source: RNAcentral
ACGCUACGUUCAGAGUUUGAUCCUGGCUCAGGAUGAACGCUGACAGAAUGCUUAACACAUGCUAAGUCGACUCGAGUCUUCGGACUUGGGUGGCGCACGGGUGAGUAACGCGUAAAGAACUUGGCCUCUUAGUGGGGAAUAACCCGGAGAAAUCCGGACUAAUACCGCAUACACUUAGUUAUCCGCAUGGAUGAUUAAGGAAAGAUUUAUUGCUAAGAGAUAGGCAUGCGUUCCAUUAGUUAGUUGGUGAGGUAACGGCCCACCAAGGCAAUGAUGGGUAGCCGGCCUGAGAGGGUGAACGGCCACAAGGGGACUGAGACACGGCCCAA